GUGUCCGAAACCAAAGCGAUCGCGGUGCUGGUCUGUGAAUCCAGGAUUAGCGGGUUAGAGUCCCGCCGGACACCCCA
Molecule: transfer RNA, 77 nt
Filed under: Scytolyngbya sp. HA4215-MV1
Lineage: Bacteria; Bacillati; Cyanobacteriota; Cyanophyceae; Leptolyngbyales; Leptolyngbyaceae
Also listed under: 1 other name
Description: tRNA-His
Rfam family: tRNA
About the family: Transfer RNA (tRNA) molecules are approximately 80 nucleotides in length. Their secondary structure includes four short double-helical elements and three loops (D, anti-codon, and T loops).
Source: RNAcentral